This 760-nucleotide ribosomal RNA is filed under the name Rhodnius prolixus. RNAcentral describes it as "eukaryotic large subunit ribosomal RNA". It matches the Rfam family "Eukaryotic large subunit ribosomal RNA", at positions 2232 to 2323 of the family's 3401-position model. The record is from RNAcentral. Lineage: Eukaryota; Metazoa; Arthropoda; Insecta; Hemiptera; Reduviidae.
UCUAACCAAUGCGCGGGUAAACGGCGGGAGUAAGUAUGACUCUCUUAAUUCUCGAGGAGCUAGGAGAAAUGCACAAACGGUCACUUGCAGAGCAGGUUGUCCUGAAGACGAAACAGCUGCUCAUGUAGUUCAGCGUUGUUUCCGCACCCACGGUGGUAGGGUGUUACGACACAACGCUGUCUGCAAUACACUUGCUUCGGCGCUGCGGAACAGGGGAUGGCAGGUCGAGCAAGAGCCGCAUUUGCAAACUGUAGUCGAACUCAGGAAACCUGAUAUCAUAGCACACAGCCCAUCAGGUGCGCUGGUAGUGGACACCCAGAUCGUCGGCGGAACAAGACCUUUGGACCUAGCCCAUAAAGCGAAAGUCCAAUAUUACGCCGACAACCCGAACCUGGCAGAAGUAGUGGCGGCAGGGAGUUUGGUCCCCCCGAUCAUACGCUGAUCUUAUUUCAUUUGGAAUCCCCCCCGGAAUUUUAAAUGGAAUGGUGACGCGUGUGCUUCAGGGUUCACACACGAACUGGACCCGCUUUAACCAGAUGACUUUGGCGCGGCGGAUGGUCUAGUGUUUGCGUUCGAGUGCGAACCAGCAGUCAGGUGAGAGCGACCACCUUUUCGGCCCGACUUCGGUCAUUUCAAAAUUGUGGUUGCUGGAGGUUGACAGGCAGCCUCCAGCUUCCACCAGUCGCAAAUAUAAGAAAAAAAAAAAAAAAAAAAAAAUAGCCAAAUGCCUCGUCAUCUAAUUAGUGACGCGCAUGAAUGG